This 5444-nucleotide long non-coding RNA is filed under the name Homo sapiens (human). RNAcentral describes it as "non-protein coding LINC00265:21". The record is from RNAcentral. Lineage: Eukaryota; Metazoa; Chordata; Mammalia; Primates; Hominidae.
GUGACAACGGCAAGCUGGCUGCAACGAAGCCGCCCACGUAGGCCUCCCCGGCCUGCUGGAGGAGAGGGGAUCCCCCGGGGCAGAGGCGGCUACACCCGGAGAACCCGGAAACCGGAAGCGCAGAUCCUGCCGGCUCUGGACUAGCCGCUCAGCACCAGGGCGGAAGGAAGACGAGGCGAGGCAAGCGCCAAGCUUCCAUCCGGACUUCAAGGCCAGUGGCUGGGUCUGGUUUUCUCAACACGGCCUCCUAGUCUCCUUCCCGCUUGGGCAUCUGUUUUUCUUAUAUAGACCCUGAAGCCGCCCGUGAUGUUCUGUAAGCAGGUUCCGCUUCAGAAUCAGAGGUACUUAAGAGGGAACCUGGAUGCUAGACCUGCCCUUGCUGCUGGCCUCAGUUUCUUUACCUGUAAAACAGGGAUUUUGGAACUGUUAAAUUAAAUCAAACUUAAAAGAAUUACAACUUAAAGCUGCUGGAACUUUACAUGAUCCCGAGCCUUGAGAGGAAUGUGGCUAUGCAGCCUGAGUCAUGUGGCAUGCAGAUGCAACCUCUGCCUUUUUCCGCUGUAAAUAAUUAAGAAGACCAAGUAGCAUCCAAGAGUCACCUAAGCUGAAGAUUCCCUUGAGAACAAGUACUGUCCUGUGGUUUCAUGGCCUUUCUUCCAUUUGUGGUUCUUGCCAAGCGGAAUUUAAAUGACAUCUUAUCAAGAUGGAUAAACCCUAGUUUCCCAGUGCUGGAAUAUAGAAAAUGGAUGGACAAGUAAAUCCCACUCAGCACCCAUAGCCCAGGCAUGGGGACCUCAACACAUUUGAGCCGCAGAGAUCACCUUUCAUUGUGAAUAGCUCUGAGAUGAUACUUCUGGUUGAAUGUCUUUUUGUCACUUCCGGCUGGAUCUACCAUGAAAGAUUUCUGAAUCCAGGAAGAGAGAUUGACUGGGCAACAUGUUAUUCAGAAACAGGACCUUGCCCUGUCACUCAGGAUGGAGUUCAGUGGUCCAAUCAUGGCUCAUUGUAGCCUCAAACUCCCAGGCUCAAGCAAUCCUACCACGUCAGUCUUCCCAGUAGCUGACAGGGUCUCACUCUGUCGCCCAGGCUGGAGUGCAGUGGCAUGAUCUUGGCUCACUGUAGUGUAGACUUCCCAGCCUCAAGGGAUCCUCCCACCCCAGACUCCCAAGUAGCUGGAAUUACAGGUCUCAUGCUCUCACUCAGGCUGCAGUACAGUGGCACAACCUCUACUCACUGCAGCCUCUACCUGCCAGGCUCAAGCAAUUCUCCUGACUUAGCCUCCCGAGUAGCUGGGAUUACAGGUAAGUGCCACCACACCAAGCUAAAUUUUGUGUUUUUUGUAGAGAUGGGGUUUCGCCAUGUUUCCCAGACUGGUCUCAAACUCCUGAGCUCAAAGCAAUUCACCCGCCUUGGCCUCCCAAAGUGCUGGGAUUACAGGUGUGAGCCACCUUGCUCAUUCUAGUUUAAACUUUUGAGUGGUUUGUGUCUCCUGAUUGGACUCCUACAAAUACAGAAUUGAUGGUAGGAAGGGUACCAGGAGAUAGACCCACACAGAUGGGAUUUGGGAAUAGGUUUGGUUAUCCAAGGAGCAGUGCUGAGCUCCUUGCUAAUGGGAUAUGGGAGGCUGGUGAUUUCCAGGAAGUGACCUCACAAUGACUCAAGCUACCACAUACUGUUCAUUGUGAAAUGCCAGUUGAAGCAUAUGUCCUGUGAGCUUAGGGGUGCUACAAGUUGACCACUGCAGCAGUAAAGAUGAUUCUGAAGAAUGGCAUGGGAUGGAUCCUUUCGAAUGCACUUGAGCAGCGGUCUCCAACCACAGGGCCACAGAGCUGGAGCUGGAUCUACCAUGAAAGACUUCUGAAUCCAGGAAGAGAGACUGACUGGGCAACAUGUUAUUCAGGAGAUGGGGUCUCACCCUGUCGCCCAGGCUUGAGUACAGUAGUGCUAUCACAGCUCACUGCAGCCUUGAACUCCUGGGCUAAGGAUCCUCCUACCUGAGCCUCCUGAGUAGCUGGGACUGUAGGGUCUCCCUCUGUUGUCCAAGGCUGGAGUGUAGUAGUGCUAUCACAGCUGACUGCAGCCUCAACCUUCCAGGCUGAAGCGAUCCUCCCAUCUCAACCUCCCACGUGGCUGAGACUACAGGCGCUUGCCACUAUGCCCAACUAAUAUUUGGAAUUUUCCUAUACGUGGAUUCCAGAGGGGUGACAGCGAAACGUGAGUGGGACCAUCCAGUUGCAGGAAAACGAGCUUAACACGCCCACUGAUUCUACAUUAUGCUCCUACCUCCCGGCAGCCUCUCCAGGCCCAGAACUUUCUCCAGUCGGCCUCCACAGACCAAGCUCAUGACUCACAAUGGCCUAUUUAGGCCCAUACCCUACCUCACGGCAGUCUCCGCAGAUGAGGCUACUGCCUCACAACAGCCUCCACAGGCACAGCUCCAUCGUUACAAUGGCCUCUUUAGACCCAGCUCCUGCCUCCCAGCCUUCUCUCUAGGCCCUGAACUUUCUCAAGUCGACGUCACCAGGCCCAGCUCAUGCUUCUUGGCAGCCUCUCCAGGCCCAGCUCUUCCUCCCGGCGGCCUCUGCAGGCCCAGACUGUCAUCAAGUCGGCCUGUCCAGGGCCAGCUCCUGCCUCCCGGCGCCCUCUGCAGGCCCAAGUCGUCCUCAAGUUGGCCUCCCCAGGCCCAGCUCCAGCCUCUCGGCGGCCUCUCCGGGUGCAAAAGUUCCUCGAGUCAGCCUCUCCAGGCCCAGCUCCUCCUGCCUCCCAGUGCCUCUUUCGGCCCAGCCCAGCUCAUGCCUCUGGGCGGCCUUCCCAGGCCCCGCUUUUGACUUUUGGCGGCCUCUGCAGGCCUCGACAAGGCCCGGCCUCCUGCCUCCCGAAGCCUGCACAGGCCCAGCCUCUGCCUCACAGCAGACUCUCCACGCCCAGCUAGCUCUCGCCUCACUGCGGCCUCCCCAGUCCAAAGCUCCUGCCUCUCGGCCGCUUCGGCAGGCCCAGCUCCCGCCUGCCAGUGCCUCUUCAGGCCCAUGGGGCUCAUUCCUCACAACGGCCUUUCCAGGCCCCGUUUUUCCCUUCCGGCGGCCUCUCCGGGCCCAGAACCUCCUCAAGUUGGCCUCUCCAGACCCACUUGCACCCUCCGGGCGUCCUCUCCAGGCCCAGCUCUUCCUCCCGGCUGCGUCUCCAGGCCCGACUCCUGCCUCCCAACAACCUCUUUGGACUCAGUGCCUGCCCAUCUCCUGGCGGCCUUGGUCGGCCCACAGCUUCCUCAAGCCAAGCUCCCCAGGCCCAGGUCAGGCCUCACGGUGGCCUCUCCAGGAUCAGCUCCUGCCCUCCGAUGGUGUCUCCAGGCCCCAAAUGGUCUCCGGCCAGUGGGCUCCUCCACGCCCAGCUUGGGCCUCCCGGCGACCUCUGCAGGCCCAAGUCGUCCUGAAGUCGGCCUCUCCCGGCCCUGCCUCCCAGCAAGUAAGCAAGCUUUUUUGGCUUAGCUCCUGCCCAGCUCCCAACCGCCUUUGUAGGCCCCGAACUUUCUCCAGCCAAGCUCUUCGGGCCCACCUCCUGCCUCCCGGUGGCCUGUACAGGCCCAGCUCUGGCUGGAGAACAGCCUCUGCAGGCCCCGCUCUUGCCUCCCAGGGGCCUCUCCAGGCCCAGCUCUCGCCCCCACAGCGGCCUCCCGGGGCCAAGUCCCUGCCUGCCUCCCGGCAUCCCGCAUGCAGCCCAGCUCCUCCCUCACGGUGGCCUGUUGAUGCCCAACUCAUGCCUCUGGCACCCUGCCCAGAGGCGUGAGCCCCUGCCUCACACCGGCUCCUCCCACGCUGACAGAGGUCAGCGUGAGCCCCUGCCUCAACAGGCCACCGUGAGGGAGGAGCAGGGCCGCACGCGGGCUGCCGGAAGGCGGACAGGGACUUGGCCCCGGGAGGCCGCGGUGGGGCAAGAGCUUGGCCUGGAGACGCCCCUGGGAGGCAACAGCAGGGCCUGCAGACGCUCUUCUCCAGCCAGAGCUGGGACUGUACAGGCCACUGGGAGGCAGGAUGUGGGCCUGAAGAGCUUGGCUGCAGAAACUUUGGGGUCUACAAACGCCGGCGAGAGCUGAGCCGAAAGAGCUUGCUUGCUGGGAGGCAGGAGCUGGGCCGGGAGAUGCAGCCAGGAGGAACAGCUGGGCCUGCAGAGGCCGCCAUGCGGGAGGCAGAGGCUGGGCCUCCUCAAGUUGGCCUCUCCAGACCCACUUGCAGCCUCCCGGCGUCCUCUCCGGGCCCAGCUCUUCCUCCCGGCUGCGUCUCCAGGCCCAACUCCGGCCUCCCAACAAGGUCUUUGGACUCAGCUCCCCCGCAGCUUCCAGCGGCCCUGGUAGGCCCACAACUUCCUGAAGCCAAGCUCCCCAGGCCCAGCUCAGGCCUCACGGUGGCCUCUCCAGGCUCAGCUCCUGCCCUCCGACAGCGUCUCCAGGCCCCAAACGGCCUCCGGUCGGUGGGCUCCUCUAGGCCCAGCUUGGGCCUCCCGGCAGCCUCUGCAGGCCCAAAUCGUCCUGAAGUCGGCCUCUCCAGGCCCAGCUCCAGCCUCCCGGCGGCCUCUGCAGGCCUAAGUCGUCCUCAAGUCGGCCUGGAAAUGGGCCUGGAAGAGCUGCAAGUCGGCCUCCCCGGGCCCAGCUCCGUCCUCUCGGCGGCCUCUCCAGGUGCAAAACUUCCUCGAGUCAGCCUCUCCAGGCCCAGCUCCUCCUGCCUCAGUGGCCUCUUUCGGCCCAGCCCAGCUCAUGGCUCUCGGCGGUCUUCCCAGGCCCCGCUUUUGACUUUUGGUGGCCUCUUCAGGCCCAGAACUUGACCUCCAGUCGGCCUUUGCAGGCCCGGCCUCCUGCCUCUCGAAGGUCUGCAUGGGCCCGGCCUCGGCCUCACAGCGGACUCUCCACGCCCAGCUAGCUCUCGCCUCACUGCACCCUCCCCAGUCCAAAGCUCCUGCCUUUCGGCCACUUCGGCAGGCCCAGCUCCUGCCUGCCAGUGGCCUCUUUAGGCCCAGCUCAUUCCUCACAACGGCCUUUCCAGGCCCCGUUUUUCCCUUCCGGCAGCCUCUUGGCCUCUAAUUUUUUUAUCUUUUGUGUAUAAAUCCCAAAUUAUGGAAUUUUGGAAUAUUUCCACCAUUAUAUAAAUAUUUUGGUAGGUAAUUUAUUUGGAGUGAGUUUCUGCACCAAGCCCGAAUUUUUUAUUUUAUUUUCCUUAUUAUUUGGUGUUAAACAGGUUUAAUGACGGUCAUGGCAACUUUUUGGCACAAUGAAAAAUAUCGCCCAUGAUCAACGUGUUCUGUUCUGGGGAAGGGGGCAAAGGCAGGGUGAAUCACUUUCUUAAAAAGUACAGCUUAAGUUGGGAGUGCAGAGGGAAUGGGGAGAAAACCCUCCCACUGCCUGUGUCGAAGUGCAGGAGCCCCCACCCCCAUACUCACCUGAGUCCAGCCCCUCU